This 490-nucleotide ribosomal RNA is filed under the name uncultured bacterium. RNAcentral describes it as "partial 16S ribosomal RNA". It matches the Rfam family "Bacterial small subunit ribosomal RNA", at positions 30 to 507 of the family's 1533-position model. The record is from RNAcentral.
AUUGAACGCUGGCGGCAGGCCUAACACAUGCAAGUCGAACGGUAACAGGAAACAGCUUGCUGUUUCGCUGACGAGUGGCGGACGGGUGAGUAAUGUCUGGGAAACUGCCUGAUGGAGGGGGAUAACUACUGGAAACGGUAGCUAAUACCGCAUAACGUCGCAAGACCAAAGAGGGGGACCUUCGGGCCUCUUGCCAUCGGAUGUGCCCCGAUGGGAUUAGCUAGUAGGUGGGGUAACGGCUCACCUAGGCGACGAUCCCUAGCUGGUCUGAGAGGAUGACCAGCCACACUGGAACUGAGACACGGUCCAGACUCCUACGGGAGGCAGCAGUGGGGAAUAUUGCACAAUGGGCGCAAGCCUGAUGCAGCCAUGCCGCGUGUAUGAAGAAGGCCUUCGGGUUGUAAAGUACUUUCAGCGGGGAGGAAGGGAGUAAAGUUAAUACCUUUACUCAUUGACGUUACCCGCAGAAGAAGCACCGGCUAACUCCGUG